Molecule: long non-coding RNA, 573 nt
Organism: Hydra vulgaris (swiftwater hydra)
Lineage: Eukaryota; Metazoa; Cnidaria; Hydrozoa; Anthoathecata; Hydridae
Source: RefSeq, a predicted model, not a curated record
GUUAUACACAUCGAGUAACUAAGUUUUAAAUUUACUAACUUGCGUUUUAAGUUUCCUAGAGUCUAACAUAAAAAGUUCCCAUUCUAAAAGUGUCCCAUGCGACCAGGAUAGGCCCCCAAAGUAAUCCAUUAUCGUGUCUAUCGUGAGGUUUCGAUUUCAUUCGAUUUCUAUUAAAAUAUUUUGCAGAACCACGUUUUACUUUAAUUUUGCCGUCUGAAACCAUUCUGUAUUAUAACAAGCUUUAUUUAUUAAACGAUAACAUCGAGUUAUAUGCUUCUUCAAAGAAAAUGAAUGAAUGUUCUAUACAUUUUGAUGGUGUUUCUCAAGAUUUAAUUUUAAUUACAAAAAAAAGAUAUUUAUCAAUUAAGCGUGCCAAAAAGUUAUGGUUAUUGUAUCCUGGAUAUAAACAACAAUCAGUUACGAUAGUUUUUCAUAACAUGGACAUGCGUAUUUAAAAAUGUACUUAACAAUAAAGUUAUACAGAAGAAAUGCUCAUUUUUUGUUUACAAUUUGCAUUUAAUCAUUUGUAAAUAAAUAUGUAUUUUUUGAAAUUCAGUUUACAAUUUUAUGUUU